Molecule: long non-coding RNA, 696 nt
Organism: Choloepus didactylus (southern two-toed sloth)
Lineage: Eukaryota; Metazoa; Chordata; Mammalia; Pilosa; Megalonychidae
Exons: 3
Source: RefSeq, a predicted model, not a curated record
AGGGCCCAGACCUAACACCCCUUCUACAGUUUUUGUGCCCAAUGUGGGGCACAAUGUCUGAAUGAUGUGAUGCUUGGUGGAUUCCUGAAACUCUGAUGUAGAACAUUGAUGAGUCUUCAGAAUAUAGCCAAAAGAGAGACUUUUCUCCAAGAGCUGGACAACAGAGUUUCUUGCCCCAUGCAUCCAGGACUCCAAAGACUGCUGGUUGUGGAGGAAAACAGAUGUGUUUUAUUAAAAAUACCAGAGCAGGAGAGAAGUGGGGAUGAUUAAUACAGGAUGGUGAAGAGAAGGGAAAGAAGAUAAUAACAUCAAACACACAAGAGAAUACUGUCUUCUUACAUUGGAGAGGCAAGACAGGAACGGUGGUGGUACCAUCACAGGAUAUUAUCUCUACUGAGGAAUCAAAUAAUGAGGAUGCUGACUUCUUCUCUCUAUGCUGCUCUUAUAUACCACCUGAUUCUUUCUGUUCUGACAGUGAAGAACCAGCUAUUCCUUCUGAUAUAGAAACAUAUUUAACAGAACUGUUACCUAAAAGCUCUCAAGUACAAUUUCCAAGUGAUAAAAUGUGGAAAGGUCUUACUAUAAUAACUGAUACAGAGGAAUCAUGCUUUGAGUCCUAUAUUAGAAGACUGUACUGAAGAAUUUAAACAAUUAAAAGCUGUGAAUAUUGUCAAUAAAUCAGAAUGCCCUUCUCAA